RNAcentral lists this ribosomal RNA (165 nucleotides) under uncultured bacterium. RNAcentral describes it as "partial 16S ribosomal RNA". It matches the Rfam family "Bacterial small subunit ribosomal RNA", at positions 354 to 511 of the family's 1533-position model. The record is from RNAcentral.
UAGGGGAAUCUUCCACAAUGGACGAAAGUCUGAUGGAGCAACGCCGCGUGAGUGAAGAAGGGUUUCGGCUCGUAAAACUCUGUUGUUAAAGAAGAACAUAUCUGAGAGUAACUGUUCAGGUAUUGACGGUAUUUAACCAGAAAGCCACGGCUAACUACGUGACAG